This 392-nucleotide ribosomal RNA is filed under the name uncultured bacterium. RNAcentral's name for it is "partial 16S ribosomal RNA". It matches the Rfam family "Bacterial small subunit ribosomal RNA", at positions 523 to 917 of the family's 1533-position model. The record is from RNAcentral.
AUACGGAGGAUCCGAGCGUUAUCCGGAUUUAUUGGGUUUAAAGGGUGCGCAGGCGGGAGAUUAAGUCGGCGGUGAAAUUUUUGAGCUCAACUGUAAAAGGGCCUUCGAAACUGGUUUUCUUGAGUGUGGAUGAAGUAGGAGGAAUUUGAGGUGUAGCGGUGAAAUGCAUAGAUAUCACGAGGAACUCCGAUUGCGCAGGCAGCUUACUAAACUACUACUGACGCUCAGGCACGAAGGCGUGGGGAUCAAACAGGAUUAGAUACCCUGGUAGUCCACGCAGUAAACGAUGAUUACUAGCUGUUUGCGAUACAAUGUAAGCGGCUGAGCGAAAGCGUUAAGUAAUCCACCUGGGGAGUACGUUCGCAAGAAUGAAACUCAAAGGAAUUGACGGG